CGAACGCUGGCGGCGUGCUUAACACAUGCAAGUCGAACGGAAAGGCCCUGCUUUUGUGGGGUGCUCGAGUGGCGAACGGGUGAGUAACACGUGAGUAACCUGCCCUUGACUUUGGGAUAACUUCAGGAAACUGGGGCUAAUACCGGAUAGGAGCUCCUGCUGCAUGGUGGGGGUUGGAAAGUUUCGGCGGUUGGGGAUGGACUCGCGGCUUAUCAGCUUGUUGGUGGGGUAGUGGCUUACCAAGGCUUUGACGGGUAGCCGGCCUGAGAGGGUGACCGGCCACAUUGGGACUGAGAUACGGCCCAGACUCCUACGGGAGGCAGCAGUGGGGAAUAUUGCACAAUGGGCGGAAGCCUGAUGCAGCAACGCCGCGUGCGGGAUGACGGCCUUCGGAUUGUAAACCGCUUUCGCCUGUGACGAAGCGUGAGUGACGGUAAUGGGUAAAGAAGCACCGGCUAACUACGUG
This 466-nucleotide ribosomal RNA is filed under the name uncultured bacterium. RNAcentral's name for it is "partial 16S ribosomal RNA". It matches the Rfam family "Bacterial small subunit ribosomal RNA", at positions 30 to 507 of the family's 1533-position model. The record is from RNAcentral.